AUUGAACGCUGGCGGCAUGCUUUACACAUGCAAGUCGAACGGUAACAGGUUAAGCUGACGAGUGGCGAACGGGUGUGUAAUGCAUCGGAACGUGCCCGAUCGUGGGGGAUAACGCAGCGAAAGCUGCGCUAAUACCGCAUACGAUCUGAGGAUGAAAGCGGGGGACCGUAAGGCCUCGCGCGGUCGGAGCGGCCGAUGUCAGAUUAGGUAGUUGGUGGGGUAAAGGCUCACCAAGCCAACGAUCUGUAGCUGGUCUGAGAGGACGGCCAGCCACACUGGGACUGAGACACGGCCCAGACUCCUACGGGGGGCAGCAGUGGGGAAUUUUGGACAAUGGGCGAAAGCCUGAUCCAGCAAUGCCGCGUGCAGGAAGAAGGCCUUCGGGUUGUAAACUGCUUUUGUACGGAGCGAAAAGGUUCUCUCUAAUACAGAGGGCUCAUGACGGUACCGUAAGAAUAAGCACCGGCUAACUACGUGCCAGCCGCCGCCGUAA
RNAcentral lists this ribosomal RNA (493 nucleotides) under uncultured bacterium. RNAcentral's name for it is "partial 16S ribosomal RNA". It matches the Rfam family "Bacterial small subunit ribosomal RNA", at positions 30 to 523 of the family's 1533-position model. The record is from RNAcentral.